AUGCUCCUGCAGCAAACGGGGCCAAAAGAAGCAGCGGGCAUCUGCAGCCCUGCAGCCCUCCUGCCCUGCAUGGCCCAAGUGAGAACGUGCAGCUUCCCACCUCCUGAAGGAUCCCACCACUGGCUCUCUCUCCCUCGGUCUUUCAGGCUGCUGGGCACUUGUGGUAGCACAGCACCCUGCCCUCUCCCACCCCCAGGCCAUGAAGAGCCGUGUGGGGUCAGCAGCAGCCUUGUCCCUCCUGCCUGCAGCUCCCUGUCCCUGCUGAAGGCACAGCCAGGGAUAUCUGCAACCUCCAGAAAGUGGCUGUGGUCACCAGAAAGACAAAACAAGAAAUAAUCCCUGAAUGUUUGCCAACCCAUGGGCUCCUCUCCGUGUGUCACAUCUGGGUGCUGCGUUUGGGAUGAGCUGGGGGUGUCGGGGCACAGCGUGGGGCUGAGAUUUGGGGCCACAGCUGGGUGCUGCAGGAACAAAAAGGUCGGAUCUGCUCUGCAGGUAAACGCCCCCCAUCCUGGCACCCUCCACCACGCUGUGCCCCCAGGUGGGGGUUUGCAGCCCCCAGCUGCUGCUGGGGAUGGGCACAGCUCAGCGGCACCGAGGGGAGCGUGCGGGAUCGAUCCCCGGAGCGUUUGAUAUUCUGCUUAGUGGAACACUUGUUAUGUCUUUAAUUACUAUUUCUAAAAGCACCACAGGAUGGAAAGCAAAAGCCAGAAAUAAAUAGCGAGGGGUGAUCAAUUGGGCAUGAAACCCUUGUUAUUGAUCACCUUUAACCUCUGCUUAAACUAAUGACAGAGCUACCAUUUAACUGUCCCCAGGCACAAAGCACAUCAAUUGCACGAGUGCCACAUAAAUCACGGUGGGUUGCUGUGCUCUGGGGAGGGCGAGGGGCCCCUCUGGGCUGCAGGGCCCCGGCCAGUGCUGCUGCAGCACCCUCGCUCGGCUCCCCUCUGGAUGCUGCUGCUCCCCCAAAAUGGGCUCCCACUAGCCGAGCCCCAGCUCCCUGGAUGGGGCUGCA
Molecule: long non-coding RNA, 1012 nt
Filed under: Cairina moschata (Muscovy duck)
Lineage: Eukaryota; Metazoa; Chordata; Aves; Anseriformes; Anatidae
Description: domestica (muscovy Duck (domestic type)) lncRNA (ENSCMMG00000005878.1)
Source: RNAcentral